Molecule: long non-coding RNA, 1453 nt
Filed under: Marmota monax (woodchuck)
Lineage: Eukaryota; Metazoa; Chordata; Mammalia; Rodentia; Sciuridae
Source: RNAcentral
CCAUACCUUUCCAUUUUGUGGAUAGCCAGCAGGAGUAUUAAAAAGUCAGCCUACACCUAAAAUCACUUAUUGUACCUCUGAGAAAGAUCAUAUUAGUUGCUUUAGGUGCUGGUAGUAAAAUAUCAUUAACAUCUUACUGGUCAGUUGUAAUAUAAAUUAACUGUUAAAAAUCUUUAAAUGGGUGAAUUUUUUUUCCCCACAAAUGUUAUAUUUCAGGUAUCAGCAUAGGAAGCUCUUAAGCUUAGGUGUGUCUGUAGAUUUUAAAAUUUUUUUUAAAACUAAAUUGUAAACCAUAAGGAUGACUAGAUGGAUAUCCAUAGGACAGAGGGCAGGGCCUUCAUGGCAUAGACACUAAAUGAAAGUCAGUGUCUCAAAGAAUGUUUGCAGUUUCUAGGAGAAUGCCCUUCUUUCUUUAAAUUUGUACUUUUAUCAAUCUAGCAAAUCUUGGGACAACCAAGUUAAAGAUUUUUCUGCUGAACAAUAUUAAAUUGCUAUUUGCUCUUAUUUUUUUACCUACAAAAUUGAUGUUUUAGUCAGCUUUUUGCUGCCAUCACCAAAAGACAUGACAAGAACAAGAGGAGGAAAAGUGUAUUUUGGGGCUUAUGGUUUCAGGGGUGUCAGUCCAUAGAUGGUUGACCUCACCGUUCUGGGCCCAAGGUGAGGCAGAACAUCAUGGUGAAAGAGAGUGGCAGAUAAAACUGGCUCAGGACAUCACACCAGGGAGCAGAGUAAAAACUCCCCUCACCACUGACAAAAUAUAAACCCUAUGAGCAUGCCCCUACUGACCCUCCUCCAGGGACACACGAACAUCCAGUUGAUCCCUAUCAGAGGAUUAAUGCACCAGUUAGGUCAAGGCUCUCAUAACCCAAUCAUUUCACCUCUAAACUUUCAUACAUUGUCUCACAGAGGAGGUUUUGGGGGACACCUUAUAUCUAAACCAUAACAGACAGUUUCAUACGUUCCAACCUAAUAGCUUCUCUUGCUUAAAAAAAAAAAAGAAGAAAAGAAACUUGAUUCAUUACCUGAAGAGUUGGUAUUAGCAACUAUUUCAAAUAUUGUAAAUCUUAACUUUGGUUAUAUUUAGGAUAGUUUCAAAGAUUGACAAAAACUUAUGACAUUCAUUUUUGAAAAGCACUUUUAAAUAUUUUUCUUUUAACAAAAUUCCUUCUAGUAUCUUAUAGAAAUAGAAAUAGAAAAUUUUCUUAAAAGGUACAUUAAUAAAGUAGUAGUAUGAAAGGCAAUUUUUUUCAAAAGUUGAGAGCAUUAUAAGCUAUAAAACAGAUUAGAAAUAAUUUAUCUAGGGGCUGGGGAUGUGACUUAAGCAGUAGCGAGCUUGCCUGGCAUGCGUGCAGCCCGGGUUCGAUCCUCAGCACCACAUACAAACAAAGAUGUUGUGUCUGCCGCACACUAAUAAAUAAAUAUUUUUUAAAAAAUAAAUAAAUAAGUAAAUUGC